This 372-nucleotide ribosomal RNA is filed under the name uncultured bacterium. Its description in RNAcentral is "partial 16S ribosomal RNA". It matches the Rfam family "Bacterial small subunit ribosomal RNA", at positions 355 to 719 of the family's 1533-position model. The record is from RNAcentral.
UGGGGAAUUUUGGACAAUGGGCGAAAGCCUGAUCCAGCAAUGCCGCGUGUGUGAAGAAGGCCUUCGGGUUGUAAAGCACUUUUGUCCGGAAAGAAAUCCUUGGCUCUAAUACAGUCGGGGGAUGACGGUACCGGAAGAAUAAGCACCGGCUAACUACGUGCCAGCAGCCGCGGUAAUACGUAGGGUGCAAGCGUUAAUCGGAAUUACUGGGCGUAAAGCGUGCGCAGGCGGUUUGCUAAGACCGAUGUGAAAUCCCCGGGCUCAACCUGGGAACUGCAUUGGUGACUGGCAGGCUAGAGUAUGGCAGAGGGGGGUAGAAUUCCACGUGUAGCAGUGAAAUGCGUAGAGAUGUGGAGGAAUACCGAUGGCAGA